AUCCAGCCGACAAGUCCCAAACAGGACGAAACGUCUGUCCUGGAU
Non-coding RNA from Schistosoma haematobium, 45 nucleotides. The record is from Rfam. Lineage: Eukaryota; Metazoa; Platyhelminthes; Trematoda; Strigeidida; Schistosomatidae.